Molecule: ribosomal RNA, 704 nt
Filed under: uncultured bacterium
Lineage: Bacteria
Description: bacterial SSU rRNA
Rfam family: Bacterial small subunit ribosomal RNA
Source: RNAcentral
ACUGCAGGUCUUGAAUUAUUGUGAAGUGGUUAGAAUAAGUAGUGUAGCGGUGAAAUGCAUAGAUAUUACUUAGAAUACCGAUUGCGAAGGCAGAUCACUAACAAUGUAUUGACACUGAGGGACGAAAGCGUGGGUAGCGAACAGGAUUAGAUACCCUGGUAGUCCACGCCGUAAACGAUGGAUACUAGUUGUUUGAACUUCGGUUUGAGUGACUAAGCGAAAGUGAUAAGUAUCCCACCUGGGGAGUACGUUCGCAAGAAUGAAACUCAAAGGAAUUGACGGGGGCCCGCACAAGCGGUGGAGCAUGUGGUUUAAUUCGAUGAUACGCGAGGAACCUUACCAGGGCUUAAAUGUAGAUUGACAGGUUUAGAGAUAGACUUUCCUUCGGGCAAUUUACAAGGUGCUGCAUGGUUGUCGUCAGCUCGUGCCGUGAGGUGUCAGGUUAAGUCCUAUAACGAGCGCAACCCCUGUUGUUAGUUGCCAGCGAGUGAUGUCGGGAACUCUAACAAGACUGCCAGUGCAAACUGCGAGGAAGGUGGGGAUGACGUCAAAUCAUCACGGCCCUUACGUCCUAGGCCACACACGUGCUACAAUGGUAGGGACAGAGAGCAGCCACUUAGUGAUAAGGAGCGAAUCUAUAAACCCUAUCUCAGUUCGGAUCGGAGUCUGCAACUCGACUCCGUGAAGCUGGAAUCGCUAGUAUC